Cebus imitator (Panamanian white-faced capuchin) is the source of this 1077-nucleotide long non-coding RNA. RefSeq lists it as uncharacterized. The record is from RefSeq and is a predicted model, not a curated record. The transcript has 3 exons. NCBI's taxonomy places the organism in Eukaryota, Metazoa, Chordata, Mammalia, Primates, Cebidae.
GUUCAUGACUCCACUGUGGGUCUCCCAUGCUAGGGCUGUGCCUCAGUAGCUGAGUCUGUGGAGUGGGUGCCUUUUUAAUGCCCUGCUCCAGGCUCAUGAAGCCUGGGUAACCUCCAACUCACCUCAGGCCAGGCAGGCUCCCUGCUGGCCACGGGGCCAUUUUCUGCUGCGGCAGCACCCCCUGCUGGCCCAGACGGCACCGGCCUUGUGCCUGCCCCCCUGGAAUUCUUUUCUCUCCCUCCAGAUAUGGCCCUCCAAGCCCUGCCCCUUCUGUGCCAUCCCUCAGGUUCUGCAAGGCACUGGCCAAUUCUGCACAGCUGGGCCUUCCCACCCUGCCCCUGAGAUUCACAGAGCAGGGUCCACUGUCUCCCAGGCAUGUCUUCCCCAGGCUAAGGGCCCAGCAGUGGCACCCUUCCACCCACUGCAUGAGUCCUGCUCUCUCCCCACCCAAUGAGGCCACUACCGGCUCUGUCUCAGGCCCUUUUGUCCAAGUCUCUUCUGAAUAAAGGCACCAGAGAGUCCAGCCCUGACCAUAAUGCCCCAGAUGAAGCUUGACAGGGGGAGAACUGGAUGCAACAGUCCAGGUUUCCCUAAGAUCAGGCUGUCAUGGUCUGAUUUGUGUCUCCAAAUUCAGAUGUUGAAGACUUAACCUCCCAUGCGAUUGUGUUUGGAGAUAAUUCCUUUAGGGAGUCGAUGAAGGUUAAAUGAGGGCAUAAGUAGGAGCUUAAUCCAAUGGGACUGGGGUCCCUACAAGAAGAGGAAGACGCCGGAGCUCUCUGCCUCCACACACAGGGAGGAGAGGUCGUCUGAAGACAAAAGAGAAGGUAAUAGCUGUCUACAAACCGAGAAGAGGAGCCUCAGCAGACAAUGAAUCCCGUUGCACCUUGGUCUUGGACUUUCCAGCCUCCAGAACUGGGAGACAAUAAAGUUCGGUUGUGUAAGCCCUCCAGUGCAUGGCAUUUUGUUAUGGCAGACCUAGCAGAUUAAUACACCUGCCGAUUAAACUACUUGUUCUCCCCUUGUCUCAGGGUUUGCUCCUAGGGAACCUGGACUAAGACAGACGCUCUGCUUCAUUAG